Molecule: ribosomal RNA, 453 nt
Filed under: Salmonella enterica
Lineage: Bacteria; Pseudomonadati; Pseudomonadota; Gammaproteobacteria; Enterobacterales; Enterobacteriaceae
Also listed under: 1 other name
Description: bacterial SSU rRNA
Rfam family: Bacterial small subunit ribosomal RNA
Source: RNAcentral
AAAUUGAAGAGUUUGAUCAUGGCUCAGAUUGAACGCUGGCGGCAGGCCUAACACAUGCAAGUCGAACGGUAACAGGAAGCAGCUUGCUGCUUCGCUGACGAGUGGCGGACGGGUGAGUAAUGUCUGGGAAACUGCCUGAUGGAGGGGGAUAACUACUGGAAACGGUGGCUAAUACCGCAUAACGUCGCAAGACCAAAGAGGGGGACCUUCGGGCCUCUUGCCAUCAGAUGUGCCCAGAUGGGAUUAGCUUGUUGGUGAGGUAACGGCUCACCAAGGCGACGAUCCCUAGCUGGUCUGAGAGGAUGACCAGCCACACUGGAACUGAGACACGGUCCAGACUCCUACGGGAGGCAGCAGUGGGGAAUAUUGCACAAUGGGCGCAAGCCUGAUGCAGCCAUGCCGCGUGUAUGAAGAAGGCCUUCGGGUUGUAAAGUACUUUCAGCGGGGAGGAAG